GUGGGGAAUUUUGGACAAUGGGCGCAAGCCUGAUCCAGCAAUGCCGCGUGCAGGAAGAAGGCCUUCGGGUUGUAAACUGCUUUUGUACGGAACGAAAAGGCUCUGGUUAAUACCUGGGGCUCAUGACGGUACCGUAAGAAUAAGCACCGGCUAACUACGUGCCAGCAGCCGCGGUAAUACGUAGGGUGCAAGCGUUAAUCGGAAUUACUGGGCGUAAAGCGUGCGCAGGCGGUUUUGUAAGACAGACGUGAAAUCCCCGGGCUCAACCUGGGAAUGGCGUUUGUGAGUGGAAAGCUGGAGUGCGGCAGAGGGGGAUGGAAUUCCGCGUGUAGCAGUGAAAUGCGUAGAUAUGCGGAGGAACACCGAUGGCGAAGGCAAUCCCCUGGGCCUGCACUGACGCUCAUGCACGAAAGCGUGGGGAGCAAACAGGAUUAGAUACCCCAGUAGUCC
Molecule: ribosomal RNA, 450 nt
Filed under: uncultured bacterium
Lineage: Bacteria
Description: partial 16S ribosomal RNA
Rfam family: Bacterial small subunit ribosomal RNA
Source: RNAcentral